UAGUGGGUUCCCGCAAAACUUGGCACCUUGCUCUCUGGGUGGCGAGUGGGGGACGGGUGAGGAAUACAUCGGAAUCUACUCUGUCGUGGGGGAUAACGUAGGGAAACUUACGCUAAUACCGCAUACGACCUACGGGUGAAAGCAGGGGACCUUCUGGCCUUGCGCGAUUGAAUGAGCCGAUGUCGGAUUAGCUAGUUGGCGGGGUAAAGGCCCACCAAGGCAACGAUCCGUAGCUGGUCUGAGAGGAUGAUCACCCACACUGGAACUGAGACACGGUCCUCACUCCUACGGGAGGCAGCAGUGGGGAAUAUUGGACAAUGGGCGCAAGCCUGAUCCACCCAUACCGCGUGGGUGAAGAAGGCCUUCGGGUUGUAAAGCCCUUUUGUUGGGAAAGAAAUCCAGCUGGCUAAUACCCGGUUGGGAUGACGGUACCCAAAGAAUAAGCACCGGCUAACUUCGUGCCAGCAGCCGCGGUAAUACUAAGGGUGCAAGCGUUACUCGGAAUUACUGGGCGUAAAGCGUGCGUAAGUGCUUAUUUAACUCCCCUUGUGACACCCCUGGGCUCAACCUGGGAACUGCAUUGGAUACUGGAAUGACUACACUGGGGUAAAGGGUAACGGAAUUCCUGGUGUGGGGUGAAUUCGGAAGAUCAGGAGAACAC
This 661-nucleotide ribosomal RNA is filed under the name Stenotrophomonas sp. HPC 1221. Its description in RNAcentral is "bacterial SSU rRNA". It matches the Rfam family "Bacterial small subunit ribosomal RNA", at positions 49 to 709 of the family's 1533-position model. The record is from RNAcentral. Lineage: Bacteria; Pseudomonadati; Pseudomonadota; Gammaproteobacteria; Lysobacterales; Lysobacteraceae.